CUUUUUAAUUGACAUCGACCAAGUCCUCUAGUAAAAUGAGGAUGA
This 45-nucleotide transfer RNA is filed under the name Cayratia cheniana. Its description in RNAcentral is "partial tRNA-Phe". Lineage: Eukaryota; Viridiplantae; Streptophyta; Magnoliopsida; Vitales; Vitaceae. The record is from RNAcentral.